AUACUUCUUCGGACAAUAUACAAGGUGCUGCAUGGUUGUCGUCAGCUCGUGCCGUGAGGUGUCGGGUUAAGUCCCAUAACGAGCGCAACCCUAUCAUUAGUUGCCAUCAGGUCAAGCUGGGGACUCUAAUGAAACUGCCUACGCAAGUAGUGAGGAAGGUGGGGAUGACGUCAAAUCAGCACGGCCCUUACGUCCAGGGCUACACACGUGCUACAAUGGCCGGUACAAAGGGGCAGCUACCUGGUGACAGGAUGCUAAUCUACAAAAGCCGGUCUCAGUUCGGAUCGGAGUCUGCAACCCGACUGCGUGAAGUCGGAAUCGCUAGUAAUCGUGAAUCAGAAUGUCACGGUGAAUACGUUCCCGGGCCUU
RNAcentral lists this ribosomal RNA (369 nucleotides) under uncultured Sphingobacteriales bacterium. RNAcentral's name for it is "bacterial SSU rRNA". It matches the Rfam family "Bacterial small subunit ribosomal RNA", at positions 1014 to 1382 of the family's 1533-position model. The record is from RNAcentral. Lineage: Bacteria; Pseudomonadati; Bacteroidota; Sphingobacteriia; Sphingobacteriales.